AACGAACGCUGGCGGCAUGCCUAACACAUGCAAGUCGAACGAGACCUUCGGGUCUAGUGGCGCACGGGUGCGUAACGCGUGGGAACCUGCCCUUAGGUUCGGAAUAACUCCCCGAAAGGGGUGCUAAUACCGGAUAAUGUCUUCGGACCAAAGAUUUAUCGCCUUUGGAUGGGCCCGCGUUGGAUUAGCUAGUUGGUAGGGUAAAAGCCUACCACGGCGAAGAUCCAUAGCUGGUCUGAGAGGGUGAUCAGCCACACUGGAACUGAGACACGGCCCAGACGCAUAAGGGAGGCAGCAGUAGGGAAGCUGCGGCAAUGGGCGAAAGCCGGACGGAGCAACGACGCGUGAGUGAUGAAGGUCUUCGGAUCGUAAAACUAUGUUAGUAGGGAAGAAAAUAUGUGUAAGGACCUGUGCAAAUAUUGACGGUACCUAAUCAGAAAGCCACGGCUAACUAAGUG
This 458-nucleotide ribosomal RNA is filed under the name uncultured bacterium. RNAcentral's name for it is "partial 16S ribosomal RNA". It matches the Rfam family "Bacterial small subunit ribosomal RNA", at positions 29 to 507 of the family's 1533-position model. The record is from RNAcentral.